This 238-nucleotide long non-coding RNA is filed under the name Lathyrus oleraceus (garden pea). Its description in RNAcentral is "Pisum sativum (pea) long non-coding RNA (PSAT_LNC024262)". The record is from RNAcentral. Lineage: Eukaryota; Viridiplantae; Streptophyta; Magnoliopsida; Fabales; Fabaceae.
AAACGUCGAGUUUUUCCCAUUUGUCCGUUGACGUCUAGUUGUAUCCUUUCCCAUUCAUCCGUUGACGUCUGGUCACCUCUCCGUUGGUAUCGAUAAACGUUGAGUUUUUCAUAUUCGUCCGUUGACGUCUAGUUGUAUCCUUUCCCAGUUCAUCCGUUGAUGUCGGGUCACCUCUCCGUUGGUAUCGGUAAACGUCGAGUUUUUCCCAUUCGUCCGUUGACGUAUGGUUGUAUCUCUU